Molecule: unclassified non-coding RNA, 336 nt
Filed under: soil metagenome
Description: partial contains 5.8S ribosomal RNA, internal transcribed spacer 2, and large subunit ribosomal RNA
Rfam family: 5.8S ribosomal RNA (bases 1-119)
Source: RNAcentral
GAUGAAGACGUAGUGAAAUGCGAUAAGUAGUGUGAAUUGCAGAAUUCAGUGAAUCAUCGAAUCUUUGAACGCACAUUGCGCCCCUUGGUAUUCCAUGGGGCAUGCCUGUUCGAGCGUCAUUUGUACCUUCAAGCUCUGCUUGGUGUUGGGUGUUUGUCUCGCCUCUGCGUGUAGACUCGCCUUAAAACAAUUGGCAGCCGGCGUAUUGAUUUCGGAGCGCAGUACAUCUCGCGCUUUGCACUCAUAACGACGACGUCCAAAAGUACAUUUUUACACUCUUGACCUCGGAUCAGGUAGGGAUACCCGCUGAACUUAAGCAUAUCAAUAAGCGGAGGA